Molecule: ribosomal RNA, 446 nt
Filed under: uncultured bacterium
Lineage: Bacteria
Description: partial 16S ribosomal RNA
Rfam family: Bacterial small subunit ribosomal RNA
Source: RNAcentral
CCUACGGGUGGCAGCAGUCGAGAAUCAUUCACAAUGGGGGAAACCCUGAUGGUGCGACGCCGCGUGGGGGAAUGAAGGUCUUCGGAUUGUAAACCCCUGUCAUGUGGGAGCAAAUUAAAAAGAUAGUACAACAAGAGGCAGAGACGGAUAACUCUGUGCCAGCAGCCGCGGUAAUACAGAGGUCUCAAGCGUUGUUCGGAAUCACUGGGCGUAAGGGGGGCGUAGGCGGUUUCGUAAGUCGUGAGUGAAAGGCGCGGGCUCAACCCGCGGACGGCCCAUGAUACUGCGAGACUAGAGUGAUGGAGGGGGAAGCGGAAUUCUCGGUGUAGCAGUGAAAUGCGUAGAUAUCGAGAGGAACACUCGUGGCGAAGGCGGGUUCCUGGACAUUAACUGACGCUGAGGCACGAAGGCCAGGGGAGCGAAAGGGAUUAGAUACCCUUGUAGUC